This 56-nucleotide transfer RNA is filed under the name Diaphanoeca grandis. RNAcentral's name for it is "partial tRNA". Lineage: Eukaryota; Choanoflagellata; Acanthoecida; Stephanoecidae. The record is from RNAcentral.
CCAGCUCAUCGACUUCGGGGUGUUUCCUGGUGCGCUUCGUCGUGCUCUCACGUUGU